CGAAAGGCUAAAGGAAAUAAAAAAAAAGAGCAAGCAGGAAUUCCUGCUUGCUCUUUUUGGUUAAGCUUCAAUUAUCCUACGAGAACUGUUGCAGUUGCGAUAACACCUGCGGAGUUAACGUAAGUGAUCGUUACAGAACCUUUUG
This 145-nucleotide small RNA is filed under the name Paenibacillus sp. P22. RNAcentral's name for it is "Clostridiales-1 RNA". Lineage: Bacteria; Bacillati; Bacillota; Bacilli; Caryophanales; Paenibacillaceae. The record is from RNAcentral.